RNAcentral lists this ribosomal RNA (521 nucleotides) under Staphylococcus pasteuri. RNAcentral's name for it is "bacterial SSU rRNA". It matches the Rfam family "Bacterial small subunit ribosomal RNA", at positions 953 to 1471 of the family's 1533-position model. Lineage: Bacteria; Bacillati; Bacillota; Bacilli; Caryophanales; Staphylococcaceae. The record is from RNAcentral.
GAAGCAACGCGAAGAACCUUACCAAAUCUUGACAUCCUUUGACCGCUCUAGAGAUAGAGUUUUCCCCUUCGGGGGACAAAGUGACAGGUGGUGCAUGGUUGUCGUCAGCUCGUGUCGUGAGAUGUUGGGUUAAGUCCCGCAACGAGCGCAACCCUUAAGCUUAGUUGCCAUCAUUAAGUUGGGCACUCUAAGUUGACUGCCGGUGACAAACCGGAGGAAGGUGGGGAUGACGUCAAAUCAUCAUGCCCCUUAUGAUUUGGGCUACACACGUGCUACAAUGGACAAUACAAAGGGCAGCUAAACCGCGAGGUCAAGCAAAUCCCAUAAAGUUGUUCUCAGUUCGGAUUGUAGUCUGCAACUCGACUACAUGAAGCUGGAAUCGCUAGUAAUCGUAGAUCAGCAUGCUACGGUGAAUACGUUCCCGGGUCUUGUACACACCGCCCGUCACACCACGAGAGUUUGUAACACCCGAAGCCGGUGGAGUAACCAUUUAUGGAGCUAGCCGUCGAAGGUGGGACAAA